UAACCUAGCUAUACAGAAAGAAAAUACUGCACACCACAUGUGUAUUUUCAAGAGAACCCAAGUGAAACAUAUCUUUAACUCUUAGCUGGUUCCCCAAAAUGUCAUGACCCCUAUACUAACAUGCACAUGAAGGGAAAUACAGCAGAGGGAAGUUGGAGUGGAAAUAGACAGUGGUCCUAACACGUUGCAGGGACCACAUCUUUCCAUCCUGCCUAAUACGAGAGCUAGGCCCAGAGACGUGUACUUGCUAGACUCCCGUUAAGAACAGCAACUGCAGCUGUGAUUCAUACGG
This is a non-coding RNA of Odocoileus virginianus texanus, 292 nucleotides long. Lineage: Eukaryota; Metazoa; Chordata; Mammalia; Artiodactyla; Cervidae. The record is from RefSeq and is a predicted model, not a curated record.